AUGUAACUCUCAUUGCAGUGUAGUGACAAAGUCUUACCAGCAUGCCUUGGCCUUGGCAUUUGCUGUAAACGAGGUCAACAAGAACCCAAAAAUCUUGCCCAAUGUCACACUUGGGUUCCACAUCUGUGACAGCUACUAUGAUGCAAGGAUGACCUACCGCACCACUCUGGACCAGCUCUUCAAUUCACAUAGAUUUAUCCCCAACUACAAAUGUGGCACUCAGAAAAAACUCAUGGCUGUCAUUGGGGGAAUGAGCUCUGAUAUUUCUUUCCACGUGGCAGACAUCUUAACUCUCUACAAGAUUCCACAGGUAACAUCUGUUCAUGGAGAAGAUAUGCUCUCCUCUUGUCAUCCUGUUACUGCCUUUGUGGUUCAGGAAGAGGCUGAAAACGACUUGCAGAAAAACAAAGCCUUAUUGGAUAUUGAAAAAGCAAGACCCAACUUUUCCAAGAGUAGGACCCCUUCUUUUGCAUGUAAUUAAAUCCCUGAGUUAUAAAAGCUUCUAUAAAGCACCCAGGACAGCUCUGGCACCACUUUCAUUUCUAUGUAAAGAUUCUGGAAAGGUAAGUGAGGGGUUUUUGCCCACCACAAAUUGCAACCCAUCUCUAAACUAUCUGUACAUUUUCUUUCAGCUCACAUUCGGCUCAUUUGCCCCAGAGGAAAGUAGCACAAAGAAUUUCCCUUCCUUUUACCGCAUGGUCCCAAGUGAAACCCAUCAGUACAGUGGGAUUAUCCAGUUGCUUCAACAUUUUGGAUGGACCUGGGUUGGGCUCCUAGCUGCUGCUGAUGACAGUGGAGACCAUUUCUUGCAGAACCUGGAGCCACUGCUUUCUCAGCACGGGAUAUGUUCAGCUUUCACAGAAAGGCUCCAGAAACAAGGACGAUUCAUUUCCCUUGAUAUUCUGAGCGAUAUGGCAUCAAACAUUUAUCAUUCUUUCAUGGAUAGAAAAGCUAGAGCAAUUAUUAUCUAUGGUGAAAGCAUGACCCUUCUGUGGCUGAGCACAUUAGUGCCAAUAGCAGAUCUGGAAUAUGGAGGAAAUAUAUCUGUUGGGAAGGUCUGGAUUACAACAGCCCAGAUUGAUUUUUCAGUAACAGGCUUUAUAACACGUCGUAAUUUUCAAAUAUUCCAGGGGGCUAUUUCUUUUGCUAUACAUGCAAGUGG
This is a non-coding RNA of Podarcis lilfordi (Lilford's wall lizard), 1162 nucleotides long. The record is from the annotation of a GenBank genome assembly. Lineage: Eukaryota; Metazoa; Chordata; Lepidosauria; Squamata; Lacertidae.